Molecule: small RNA, 562 nt
Filed under: Pongo abelii (Sumatran orangutan)
Lineage: Eukaryota; Metazoa; Chordata; Mammalia; Primates; Hominidae
Description: processed transcript
Source: RNAcentral
ACACUUGCAAGUUGCCUGGUUGAGUUUGUGUGGCGGGGCACCCUGGCCCGCAUGCGGUACAAAAGAACCAAGGCAGCUCUGACCAUAAUCAGGUACUACCGGCGCUACAAAGUGAAGUCGUACAUCCACGAGGUGGCCAGACGCUUCCAUGGCGUCAAGACCAUGCGAGACUAUGGGAAGCACGUGAAGUGGCCAAGCCCUCCUAAAGUUCUUCGCCGUUUUGAGGAGGCCCUGCAGACGAUUUUCAAUAGAUGGAGAGCAUCCCAGCUCAUCAAGAGCAUUCCGGCCUCAGACCUGCCCCAGGUCAGGGCAAAGGUUGCAGCCAUGGAAAUGUUGAAGGGUCAAAGGGCUGACCUCGGGCUCCAGAGGGCCUGGGAGGGCAACUAUCUUGCUUCAAAGCCAGAUACACCUCAGACCUCAGGCACUUUUGUCCCUGUUGCUAAUGAAUUGAAACGGAAGGACAAAUACAUGAAUGUCCUCUUUUCCUGUCAUGUCCGUAAGGUAAAUCGAUUUAGUAAGGUGGAAGACAGAGCAAUUUUUGUCACUGACCGUCACCUAUAUA